This 77-nucleotide transfer RNA is filed under the name Clostridiales bacterium. Its description in RNAcentral is "tRNA-Arg". It matches the Rfam family "tRNA". Rfam says of the family: Transfer RNA (tRNA) molecules are approximately 80 nucleotides in length. Their secondary structure includes four short double-helical elements and three loops (D, anti-codon, and T loops). RNAcentral also lists the same sequence under 1 other name. Lineage: Bacteria; Bacillati; Bacillota; Clostridia; Eubacteriales. The record is from RNAcentral.
GCGCCAUUAGCUCAAUUGGAUAGAGCGUUGGUCUACGGAACCAAAGGUUAGGGGUUCGAGUCCCUUAUGGCGCGCCA